GUUGGUGAUGAAAAUUGUUAAGAGAGUAGAUCUUAAAUGUUAACAUAUAAUACAGUUCUGUUAAUUGUAGUCACUAUGCUUUACAUUAGAUACUCAUAAAUGAUGCAUCUUCUAGCUGGAAGUGUGUACUCUCUGACUAUGAUCCCCCAUUUCCCCACUUCCCCAGACCUUGGAAACCAAUAUGUAUGGUGUCUUUUUUUUUUUUAAUCUAUCACUGGAUACUUAUGUAAGUUGUUUCCAUAUCUUGGCUAUUGCAAAUAAUACUGCAAUGAGCUUGGGAAUGUAGUUAUCUCUUUGAGACAGUGAUUUCACUUCCUGUGGAUAUAUACCCAGAAGUGAGAUUGUUGGAUCAUAUGGUAAUUCUAAAUUAAAAUGCAAA
This is a long non-coding RNA of Phyllostomus discolor (pale spear-nosed bat), 379 nucleotides long. RefSeq lists it as uncharacterized. The transcript has 3 exons. NCBI's taxonomy places the organism in Eukaryota, Metazoa, Chordata, Mammalia, Chiroptera, Phyllostomidae. The record is from RefSeq and is a predicted model, not a curated record.